GACGAACGCUGGCGGCGUGCUUAACACAUGCAAGUCGAACGAUGAAGCUGGAGCUUGCUCUGGCGGAUUAGUGGCGAACGGGUGAGUAACACGUGGGAAAUCUGUCCUUGACUCUGGGAUAACUGCGGGAAACUGUAGCUAAUACCGGAUACUUUCCCUGGUGGGCAUCCACUGGGGAAGAAAGAAUUUCGGUCAAGGAUGAUCUCGCGGCCUAUCAGCUUGUUGGUGAGGUAAUGGCUCACCAAGGCGACGACGGGUAGCCGGCCUGAGAGGGUGACCGGCCACACUGGGGCUGAGACACGGCCCAGACUCCUACGGGAGGCAGCAGUGGGGAAUAUUGCACAAUGGGCGCAAGCCUGAUGCAGCAACGCCGCGUGAGGGAUGAAGGCCUUCGGGUUGUAAACCUCUUUUAGCAGGGAAGAAGCGAAAGUGACGGUACCUGCAGAAAAAGCACCGGUUAACUACGUGCCAGCCGCCGCCGUAA
This 484-nucleotide ribosomal RNA is filed under the name uncultured bacterium. Its description in RNAcentral is "partial 16S ribosomal RNA". It matches the Rfam family "Bacterial small subunit ribosomal RNA", at positions 28 to 523 of the family's 1533-position model. The record is from RNAcentral.